CCCUGUAUUAAUAGGAUCUAUUUAUUGUUUCAAUUACUUUUAUUUAUUGUAUACUGACAAGUAGAGGAAAAAGAACCUCUUUCUACAGAGUAGUCUUUCUUUUUGGGUCAUUACAAGUAUGAUUCUAUUUUAUGACAUAAAUACAGAAAAUGGUUAUAGCCCAUUUAACAUUAAUGUAUAUUCUUAAAGUAUAUUUUGUGUGUUUAACAAACAGGAUCUACAGAUGUUCAUUUUUUUUAAAAAAAGCUUUUUGAUUAAUUAUCCUUUAAAAAAACAGAGAUGCAUUUCAGUUUAAAUUUUAGCGUCAGUAAUGUUACAGCUACCAUCAAUAUCUAUAUUUCUAAUAAACUUGGUAUUAUGGUUACCAUUCUAAUAUUUCUAUAUAUUAAAAGAUUUCCUUGUGAAUACAUGGGCAGAUUUUUUGUGAGAGUAGACUAAUAAGACACUUGUGUUAUACUAAUGAAUAGAAACAUAGAACUAAAAAAAAACAAAAAAAAACGUAAGAUGGCUGAUUCUGACUAGCACACACACACACACACAUAUAUAUAUAUAUGUAUAC
Non-coding RNA from Biomphalaria pfeifferi, 559 nucleotides. NCBI's taxonomy places the organism in Eukaryota, Metazoa, Mollusca, Gastropoda, Planorbidae. The record is from the annotation of a GenBank genome assembly.